RNAcentral lists this ribosomal RNA (597 nucleotides) under uncultured bacterium. Its description in RNAcentral is "bacterial SSU rRNA". It matches the Rfam family "Bacterial small subunit ribosomal RNA", at positions 338 to 954 of the family's 1533-position model. The record is from RNAcentral.
CCUACGGGAGGCAGCAGUAGGGAAUUUUCCACAAUGGGCGAAAGCCUGAUGGAGCAAUACCGCGUGCAGGAUGAAGGCCUUCGGGUCGUAAACUGCUUUUAUGUGCGAAGAAUUUGACGGUAACACAUGAAUAAGGAUCGGCUAACUACGUGCCAGCAGCCGCGGUCAUACGUAGGAUCCAAGCGUUAUCCGGAAUUACUGGGCGUAAAGAGUUGCGUAGGUGGCAUUAUAAGUGGAGCGUGAAAGCGUGCGGCUCAACCGCAUUAUUGCGUUCCAAACUGUGAAGCUUGAGUAUGGGAGAGGUAGAUGGAAUUUCUAGUGUAGGAGUGAAAUCCGUAGAUAUUAGAAGGAACACCGAUGGCGUAGGCAGUCUACUGGCCCAUUACUGACACUAAGGCACGAAAGCGUGGGGAGCAAACGGGAUUAGAUACCCCGGUAGUCCACGCUGUAAACUAUGGAUGCUAGCUGUGACACACAUCACUGUGUCGUAGCGAGUACGUACGUAGUAUCCGCCGCGGAGGUACGGUCGCGAGAAUAAACGUAACGAAGAAGUAGACGGACGUGAGACGUAGCGACGGACGACGACGAGGGAGGAGG